UACGAAGGUCCCAAGCGUUGUUCGGAAUCACUGGGCGUAAAGGGUGCGUAGGCGGGUCUUUAAGUCAGGGGUGAAAUCCUGGAGCUCAACUCCAGAACUGCCUUUGAUACUGAAGAUCUUGAGUUCGGGAGAGGUGAGUGGAACUGCGAGUGUAGAGGUGAAAUUCGUAGAUAUUCGCAAGAACACCAGUGGCGAAGGCGGCUCACUGGCCCGGUACUGACACUGAGGUGCGAAAGCGUGGGGAGCAAACAGG
This 253-nucleotide ribosomal RNA is filed under the name uncultured bacterium. Its description in RNAcentral is "partial 16S ribosomal RNA". It matches the Rfam family "Bacterial small subunit ribosomal RNA", at positions 524 to 776 of the family's 1533-position model. The record is from RNAcentral.